UACGUAGGGUGCAAGCGUUAAUCGGAAUUACUGGGCGUAAAGCGUGCGCAGGCGGUGAUGUAAGACAGGUGUGAAAUCCCCGGGCUUAACCUGGGAACUGCAUUUGUGACUGCAUCGCUGGAGUGCGGCAGAGGGGGAUGGAAUUCCACGUGUAGCAGUGAAAUGCGUAGAGAUGUGGAGGAACACCGAUGGCGAAGGCAGCCCCCUGGGCUAACACUGACGCUCAUGCACGAAAGCGUGGGGAGCAAACAGG
This 253-nucleotide ribosomal RNA is filed under the name uncultured bacterium. RNAcentral's name for it is "partial 16S ribosomal RNA". It matches the Rfam family "Bacterial small subunit ribosomal RNA", at positions 524 to 776 of the family's 1533-position model. The record is from RNAcentral.